RNAcentral lists this ribosomal RNA (330 nucleotides) under uncultured bacterium. RNAcentral describes it as "bacterial SSU rRNA". It matches the Rfam family "Bacterial small subunit ribosomal RNA", at positions 568 to 898 of the family's 1533-position model. The record is from RNAcentral.
UGUGUAGGCGGUUCUUUAAGUUUGGUGUGAAAUCUCCCGGCUCAACUGGGAGGGUGCGCCGAAUACUGAGGGACUCGAGUGCGGGAGAGGAGAGUGGAAUUCCUGGUGUAGCGGUGAAAUGCGUAGAUAUCAGGAGGAACACCGGCGGUGUAGACGGCUCUCUGGACCGCAACUGACGCUGAGACACGAAAGCGUGGGUAGCAAACAGGAUUAGAUACCCUGGUAGUCCACGCCCUAAACGAUGCAUAUUUGGUGUGGGUCAUUCAGUUGAUCCGUGCCGGAGCUAACGCGUUAAAUAUGCCGCCUGGGGAGUACAGUCGCAAGGCUGAA